RNAcentral lists this ribosomal RNA (1443 nucleotides) under uncultured organism. Its description in RNAcentral is "16S ribosomal RNA". It matches the Rfam family "Bacterial small subunit ribosomal RNA". The record is from RNAcentral.
CAGGCUUAACACAUGCAAGUCGAGGGGCAGCAUGGUCUUAGCUUGCUAAGACUGAUGGCGACCGGCGCACGGGUGAGUAACACGUAUCCAACCUGCCGUCUACUCUUGGACAGCCUUCUGAAAGGAAGAUUAAUACAAGAUGGCAUCAUGAGUCCGCAUGUUCACAUGAUUAAAGGUAUUCCGGUAGACGAUGGGGAUGCGUUCCAUUAGAUAGUAGGCGGGGUAACGGCCCACCUAGUCUUCGAUGGAUAGGGGUUCUGAGAGGAAGGUCCCCCACAUUGGAACUGAGACACGGUCCAAACUCCUACGGGAGGCAGCAGUGAGGAAUAUUGGUCAAUGGGCGAGAGCCUGAACCAGCCAAGUAGCGUGAAGGAUGACUGCCCUAUGGGUUGUAAACUUCUUUUAUAAAGGAAUAAAGUCGGGUAUGCAUACCCGUUUGCAUGUACUUUAUGAAUAAGGAUCGGCUAACUCCGUGCCAGCAGCCGCGGUAAUACGGAGGAUCCGAGCGUUAUCCGGAUUUAUUGGGUUUAAAGGGAGCGUAGAUGGAUGUUUAAGUCAGUUGUGAAAGUUUGCGGCUCAACCGUAAAAUUGCAGUUGAUACUGGAUAUCUUGAGUGCAGUUGAGGCAGGCGGAAUUCGUGGUGUAGCGGUGAAAUGCUUAGAUAUCACGAAGAACUCCGAUUGCGAAGGCAGCCUGCUAAGCUGCAACUGACAUUGAGGCUCGAAAGUGUGGGUAUCAAGCAGGAUUAGAUACCCUGGUAGUCCACACGGUAAACGAUGAAUACUCGCUGUUUGCGAUAUACGGCAAGCGGCCAAGCGAAAGCGUUAAGUAUUCCACCUGGGGAGUACGCCGGCAACGGUGAAACUCAAAGGAAUUGACGGGGGCCCGCACAAGCGGAGGAACAUGUGGUUUAAUUCGAUGAUACGCGAGGAACCUUACCCGGGCUUAAAUUGCAGAUGAAUUACGGUGAAAGCCGUAAGCCGCAAGGCAUCUGUGAAGGUGCUGCAUGGUUGUCGUCAGCUCGUGCCGUGAGGUGUCGGCUUAAGUGCCAUAACGAGCGCAACCCUUGUUGUCAGUUACUAACAGGUUCUGCUGAGGACUCUGACAAGACUGCCAUCGUAAGAUGUGAGGAAGGUGGGGAUGACGUCAAAUCAGCACGGCCCUUACGUCCGGGGCUACACACGUGUUACAAUGGGGGGUACAGAGGGCCGCUACCACGCGAGUGGAUGCCAAUCCCCAAAACCUCUCUCAGUUCGGACUGGAGUCUGCAACCCGACUCCACGAAGCUGGAUUCGCUAGUAAUCGCGCAUCAGCCACGGCGCGGUGAAUACGUUCCCGGGCCUUGUACACACCGCCCGUCAAGCCAUGGGAGCCGGGGGUACCUGAAGUGCGUAACCGCGAGGAGCGCCCUAGGGUAAAACUGGUGACUGGGGCUAAGUCGUA